This 618-nucleotide long non-coding RNA is filed under the name Dasypus novemcinctus (nine-banded armadillo). RNAcentral's name for it is "lncRNA (ENSDNOG00000051797.1)". The record is from RNAcentral. Lineage: Eukaryota; Metazoa; Chordata; Mammalia; Cingulata; Dasypodidae.
UCUUUCUAGAGAUGAGGGAACAGACGACCUGAGAGAAGCUACGACUCCAGCCCAGUGUUCUGGCUGCCAGGGUGGCCUUCUUUCCAUGAACGUCAGUUUCUUCUUGGGAGCCAGGGAAUGCAGUCACCGCUGCUGCUGGUGGAGAAGGAAGCAGUCGAAGCAGCCAUUUCUCUCCCCUCAGUCAUCCAACCAUAAGGAACACCAACUCUGUCUCAGGCACCCUGCACAAAAUGGUAAAUAAGCCUGCAUCCUUCUCCCCGGAAGCCACAGUGCAGUGGAGAGAAUGGUUAAUUUCAGAACAGUGGGGCCAGGGUUGGUAAAAAAGGGACCAGGGCUCGGUGGAAGCAGGGAUAGCCACGCCUAAACCGGCCAAGGUAUGGGAGGACUUCCCAGAACCCUCAGUACCUGGGCCGAGAUCCUGGGCCAGGUUCCCGGUUCACAUUCACCCUGGGCACAGUGUGCUACAGAACCAUUUUGUCCACCUCUCAACACCUAAGGAAAAACCUGUUCAGGAUGAGUGCGUAUCAGCUGAGCAUGGGGAGAGAUGGGGAAAGAAAAGGGGAGCAAACGCCAGGCUGUGGGAUCAGCCCAUGCAGAAGCCCUGUGGUAAAGGUUGUC